GUGUGUGUGUGUGUGUGUGUGUGAAAUAAAAACAUUGGAGUAGAACAAGAAGAAAAAAAAAGAAAAAAAGGGGAAAAGCAGUAGGGGAGAAAGGAGCAAAUGCUUCUUCAGCUUUGCCAAGUAUUUGUCUUGUAAAUAAUUUGAGGAAAAGGUUAUCUUAUAAGUUUUCCAUAUAAAUCCUACUCUGACUGUUUUGCAGCCUACUACUAUUCAAAAAGAUCAUUAACUUGAUAAUUGUCAUAUUUUAAAGUUAUAGUUGCCACCUGUAGAUGCUACCUUUUGCCCUAGGUUUUUAGGACAAAUGGAUGCCCCCAAAUUGAAUAGUGAUAGUAUUCUCAGAAGACAAGUUUUUUUUUUUUUCAUAUAGGAAUGUUAGAAUUGAGCUGAACUCAUCAUUUCUAUUUGUGUAGAUUUCCCUUGUAGUUUAGUCUGGAUAUAAUAUUUUAAUUUAACAUGAAAUAUUAAAAUAACUAUCUUAUGGAAAUAAAGUAAACAUUUGAUUAAAAUGUUAUAAUUUGAAGUGCUGAACAGAAUUAUUGUUCAGGACUUCUUAUUGUGUCUUAAGGUGGCUGCAUUUUGGCGGUGGGUAAAACAAUUGUGCUUAAGCUGCUCUCAUUGCAAAGUUUGCCUUGUAAAUAUACUGCUUUGUGUAGACUUCAAGUUGUUGCACUUAUUUGAAACGAGAAAGUCUGCCAAAUCUGAAUAGGUUUGGUUAUGCUUGCUUAAGUUCUAAAGGUUUUCCCUGUCAAACUGACAUUUUUAAUAUCAUCUUUAAAAAUCACAAAAUAGAGGAAAAAAAUCUCUUACUGUCUCUUUCUUUUUAGAGAGGAUCUGACGAACUUCUUUCAGGCAGUGUACUCAAUAGCCCGAACUCUAACAUGAGCAGCAUGGUAGUUACUGCUUCUGUGAGCCUGGGCAUUACAGGAAGAAUGCUGCCCUGUAAAAUGGAUUCAAGAAAAGAGAAUUUGGUCUGGUCUCAUUUAGGCUGCAAAAGCAGUGAACUUCACUUUGCUUCUUUAGUCUGAGAUGGCAGUGUUACUAAAAUCUCAAUGUUUGUUCUUUAACCAAUAUGGUGUUACUAGAUAGAAAGGCUUUUAAGGAAUUAGCACAUAAUAAAAUGCCUUUCGUUGCAGUGUAUGGUCCUGACAUUUGAACUUUCUUUGAGUUCCUUGUGAGAGCUCACCUCACAGUCUUGCUUUUUCUCUCUGAGAACACGUAACUUUUUUUUCCUCUUCUCAGAAAUAUGGAGGAAUUAGUUCAUGGUAUCAGUGUUCCGUGGUCUUUCCAAAUGGUUGCUUGGUUCACAGCUUCAAUGUGCAAAAAAAAA
This is a non-coding RNA of Meleagris gallopavo (turkey), 1327 nucleotides long. The record is from RefSeq and is a predicted model, not a curated record. Lineage: Eukaryota; Metazoa; Chordata; Aves; Galliformes; Phasianidae.